Molecule: long non-coding RNA, 539 nt
Filed under: Monodelphis domestica (gray short-tailed opossum)
Lineage: Eukaryota; Metazoa; Chordata; Mammalia; Didelphimorphia; Didelphidae
Description: lncRNA (ENSMODG00000043095.1)
Source: RNAcentral
GAAAGAAAUAUGGAAAGGCAAAUAAAGUAGGAGAAUAGCAUACUUACUUACAAUAACUAUGCAUAAAACAAAAGUAACAAGUACCUAAAUCUACCAUGGGCAGAUAUGAAACAGAUCCAAAGGGAAGACAGAAAUGACAUCAUUGUUAUUUUGUUAGUUUAUUAAGACUUGCUGGGUAGUACAGUGGAUAGAGCACUUGGGCCUGGAGUCAGGAAAACCUGAGAGCACAUCCAGCUUCAGACACAGCCUCAUUGUGUAACCUCGGGCAAGUCACAACCUCAUUAAGCUGGUCUCAUCAGCUACAAAAUGAGAGCAUUGAGCUGUUAAAGAUUCUCAACGUGGGGUCUGCAAACUUAUAAAUUUCAAUGGUGAAGUGUCACAGGGAGAGUGGAAAACUCUCAGUGAAGACCUGUAAUUAGAAAAUUUCCACACCAAGAACAAAAACAAUGACUUUGGGCCACUUCCUGACCCCACUCAUCCAUAGAUCAGAAGGCUAAGUUUAACUUCUCAUGGAGGGAGUGUAGGUAACAUAGAUAGCA